Molecule: ribosomal RNA, 253 nt
Filed under: uncultured bacterium
Lineage: Bacteria
Description: partial 16S ribosomal RNA
Rfam family: Bacterial small subunit ribosomal RNA
Source: RNAcentral
UACAGAGGGUGCAAGCGUUAUUCGGAAUUAUUGGGCGUAAAGCGCGCGUAGGCGGUUUGGUAAGUCUGGUGUGAAAGCCCUCGACUCAAUCGAGGAAGUGCAUUGGAUACUGCCGGACUGGAGUGCAGGAGAGGAGAGCGGAAUUCCUGGUGUAGAGGUGAAAUUCGUAGAUAUCAGGAGGAACAACGGUGGCGAAGGCGGCUCUCUGGACUGUAACUGACGCUGAGGCGCGAAAGCGUGGGUAGCAAACAGG